This 253-nucleotide ribosomal RNA is filed under the name uncultured bacterium. RNAcentral describes it as "partial 16S ribosomal RNA". It matches the Rfam family "Bacterial small subunit ribosomal RNA", at positions 524 to 776 of the family's 1533-position model. The record is from RNAcentral.
UACGUAGGGGGCAAGCGUUGUCCGGAUUUAUUGGGCGUAAAGGGCGCGUAGGCGGUUUCUUAAGUUUGGAGUGACAGUGGGUGGCUUAACUACCCAAGGCCUUUGAAAACUGGGGAACUUGAGGACCAGAGAGGGACAUAGAAUUCCGGGUGGAGUGGUGAAAUGCGUAGAUAUCCGGAGGAAUACCAAAGGCGAAGGCAGUGUCCUGGAGGGUAACUGACGCUGAGGCGCGAAAGCUAGGGGAGCGAACAGG